RNAcentral lists this ribosomal RNA (301 nucleotides) under uncultured bacterium. Its description in RNAcentral is "partial 16S ribosomal RNA". It matches the Rfam family "Bacterial small subunit ribosomal RNA", at positions 509 to 807 of the family's 1533-position model. The record is from RNAcentral.
CAGCAGCCGCGGUAAUACGGAGGGUGCAAGCGUUAAUCGGAAUUACUGGGCGUAAAGCGCACGCAGGCGGUCUGUCAAGUCGGAUGUGAAAUCCCCGGGCUCAACCUGGGAACUGCAUUCGAAACUGGCAGGCUAGAGUCUUGUAGAGGGGGAUAGAAUUCCAGGUGUAGCGGUGAAAUGCGUAGAGAUCUGGAGGAAUACCGGUGGCGAAGGCGGCCCCCUGGACAAAGACUGACGCUCAGGUGCGAAAGCGUGGGGAGCAAACAGAAUUAGAUACCCGCGUAGUCCCUGUCUCUUAUAC